UUGCUUGGUUUCAUAUCAUAUACACCUUUCUUCAGUUUAUUUCUAAAAUACUAAAAACUACAAAUAAAAAAUGGCCAGUAUCAAAAUGUUGUUUGUCCUCUUGGCAACAGUUUUAAUGUUUGUUGCUCCUGCUAUCAAUGCUUGUGAAGGAGAUGGAACUCCAUGCCAACCUGAUGGAAGUACAGAUUGUUGCUCAGGAUUUUGUUAUAAACAAGUAGGAUGGGGAAUUGGAUAUUGCAAAGCUCGCUAAGUAUAAAAAAACCAAAUUUUGUUACAAUUUUCACUUUAAAAAACUAUUUUUUAAUCUUGAUGUAAUUAUUGAAAUUCGUAACACGACAUUGGUUUUUGGACAAUAAUAAUAUACGUAAAGAAAGCUAUGUAGUCCUUUAAAUUAAUAAAAAUUUUCAAAAUUCAUGAAACAAA
Molecule: long non-coding RNA, 423 nt
Organism: Leptopilina boulardi
Lineage: Eukaryota; Metazoa; Arthropoda; Insecta; Hymenoptera; Figitidae
Exons: 2
Source: RefSeq, a predicted model, not a curated record